GAUGAACGCUGGCGGCGUGCCUAAUACAUGCAAGUCGAGCGAACAGACGAGGAGCUUGCUCCUUUGACGUUAGCGGCGGACGGGUGAGUAACACGUGGAUAACCUACCUAUAAGACUGGGAUAACUUCGGGAAACCGGAGCUAAUACCGGAGAAUAUAUUGAACCGCAUGGUUCAAUAGUGAAAGACGGUGUUGCUGUCACUUAUAGCUGGAUCCGCGCCGGAUUAGCUAGUUGGUAAGGUAACGGCUUACCAAGGCAACGAUGCGUAGCCGACCUGAGAGGGUGAUCGGCCACACUGGAACUGAGACACGGUCCAGACUCCUACGGGAGGCAGCAGUAGGGAAUCUUCCGCAAUGGGCGAAAGCCUGACGGAGCAACGCCGCGUGAGUGAUGAAGGUCUUCGGAUCGUAAAACUCUGUUAUUAGGGAAGAACAAAUGUGUAAGUAACUAUGCACGUAUUGACGGUACCUAAUCAGAAAGCCACGGCUAACUACGUG
Molecule: ribosomal RNA, 497 nt
Filed under: uncultured bacterium
Lineage: Bacteria
Description: partial 16S ribosomal RNA
Rfam family: Bacterial small subunit ribosomal RNA
Source: RNAcentral